CGAUUAGCCAUGCUAGUCGCACGAGUUCAGACUCGUGGCGAAUAGCUCAGUAACACGUGGCCAAACUACCCUUCGGACCACCAUACCCUCGGGAAACUGAGGCUAAUAGUGCAUACCACACUCAUCCUGGAAUGACGAGUGUGCCAAACGCUCCGGCGCCGAAGGAUGUGGCUGCGGCCGAUUAGGUAGACGGUGGGGUAACGGCCCACCGUGCCAAUAAUCGGUACGGGUCAUGAGAGUGAGAACCCGGAGACGGAAUCUGAGACAAGAUUCCGGGCCCUACGGGGCGCAGCAGGCGCGAAACCUUUACACUGCACGACAGUGCGAUAAGGGAAUCCCAAGUGCACAGGCAUAGAGCCUGUGCUUUUGUGUACCCUAGGGCGGUGUACGAAUAAGGGCUGGGCAAGACCGGUGCCAGCCGCCGCGGUAAUACCGGCAGCCCAAGUGAUGGCCGAUCUUAUUGGGCCUAAAGCGUCCGUAGCUGGCCGCACAAGUCCAUCGGGAAAUCCACCUGCCCAACAGGUGGACGCCCGGUGGAAACUGUGUGGCUUGGGACCGGAAGGCGCGACGGGUACGUCCGGGGUAGGAGUGAAAUCCCGUAAUCCUGGACGGACCACCGAUGGCGAAAGCACGUCGCGAAAACGGAUCCGACAGUGAGGGACGAAAGCCAGGGUCUCGAACCGGAUUAGAUACCCGGGUAGUCCUGGCCGUAACAAUGUCUGUUAGGUGUGGCUCCCACUACGAGUGGGUGCUGUGCCGUAGGGAAGCCGCUAAACAGACCGCCUGGGAAGUACGUCCGCAAGGAUGAAACUUAAAGGAAUUGGCGGGGGGAGCACUACAACCGGAGGAGCCUGCGGUUUAAUUGGACUCAACGCCGGACAUCUCACCAGCAUCGACUGUAGUAAUGACGACCAGGUUGAUGACCUUGUCCGAGCUUCAGAGAGGAGGUGCAUGGCCGCCGUCAGCUCGUACCGUGAGGCGUCCUGUUAAGUCAGGCAACGAGCGAGACCCGCAUCCGUACUUGCCAGCAGUACUUCACAGUAGCUGGGGACAGUACGGAGACCGCCGUGGCCAACACGGAGGAAGGAACGGGCAACGGUAGGUCAGUAUGCCCCGAAUGUGCUGGGCAACACGCGGGCUACAAUGGUCGAGACAAAGGGUUCCUACUCCGAAAGGAGACGGUAAUCUCAGAAACUCGAUCGUAGUUCGGAUUGUGGGCUGCAACUCGCCCACAUGAAGCUGGAUUCGGUAGUAAUCGCGUU
Molecule: ribosomal RNA, 1262 nt
Filed under: archaeon DSFBPS_4R3A
Lineage: Archaea
Description: bacterial SSU rRNA
Rfam family: Archaeal small subunit ribosomal RNA
Source: RNAcentral